This 1640-nucleotide long non-coding RNA is filed under the name Manihot esculenta (cassava). Its description in RNAcentral is "long non-coding RNA (MESC_LNC000770)". The record is from RNAcentral. Lineage: Eukaryota; Viridiplantae; Streptophyta; Magnoliopsida; Malpighiales; Euphorbiaceae.
UCCAAAUUACCUCUUUACACCAUUUUCUGCAAAAUAAGAUUAAAACCACAAAAUUAGGCAGAAAAAGUGUAAAUUAACAUUAAUAACAUCAUGAUAAAAUGGUCUAAAUUUGGACUGAUCAGUAUACUACACGUUGAAAACACAUUGUUAAGAAAGAAAGGAGAGAUAACUAGGAUGGGCAUCAAAGGAAUGUACUGAGUACUGGUGAAAGUAGUUUGGAGUUUCCUGGACAUAAGUUGAUAGUGCAGAGGGUUGAUGGCUGCAACAAAUUGUGCACGAGAAAUGGGAAAAGGUGGUCCAGAUUGAAACUAACCAGUGGUCUGUCAGAAAGCAAGCCGAAGAAGCUUUAAUGUAGUAGGAGAUCAAUUUUAUAUGCUACAAGGAAAACCAUAUUUAAGGAUUUACUUAUCCACAAUUGCUACAUCCACAAUAAGAAGCUACAAUUUUGCUGUGGAAAUUUUGACCAGACCAUAACAGAGUUGCUCUAUUACUAAAUGAUGGACUCUUAAAAGUUUACCUGUCAAAAUUUGCCUUUUAUUCAACUGUUUUCUCCAGGUAUGCACACAAUGCACGAGCAGAAUUUGUUCUUAAAGUUCAUUCGAUAAGAAGAAUUACUAUUUGCCACAACCCCAAAUUGUCUUUUGUUUUUUUUUUUAACCGCACAGUACUCAGCUGUGCAGUAUAUGCAUGGUUCACUUAUACAACACUAAAUUCUGAUGUGGAUUUUUCUGCCAAGUUACGGUGCAAAAUUUAUCUACUAUCAUCCAUGAUUUUCAAAUUAUAUUUGCUCAGUUAAUAGGCUAGAAUUAACCGUUUUCUUUGCUGUUAUGGUGGGUAUAUCCCUCUACUUUUACAGAUAUUGAAUCAGACACGAACUUGUAGUUAGUCCAGACUCAUUGGUAGUUGGUACUUCUAGAUAAUGCAAGUGAACUGGUUUCAAGACCCCUUCCCAUUCACAUGCAUUGCUUUUCCUCAUAGGGGGGAAAAACUCAUUUAGUGAUUCAGAACACCAGAAUGCUUACGAAAUUAAUGUAGAAGCCUUGUAAAACACAGCAAACCUGAGAUCUGCAGAACCAAACUGAGCUGCUGAUCCCAUAUUCACCAUGAAGCUCAGCUGCAUACUGGUUAAGAUCAGCAAGUAAACCAGAGCUAAAAGUAACUUACAGCUGCGAAUGCAGUUGAUUCGAGUUGGAUACAGAACUACUGACCUUGUACCCAGUUGUGGAGCAAUCUUCCUUUUCAAGGACAAUUCAGUCAGCUUUAGGAAAUAUUAAUAUCACCAACUCUCUAGUAAGAUCAGUAUAUGUACUUGCCAAGAAAUUGGCCUUCUCCUUGCGUAUUUAAUUGAGCUCUGUGGAAAGGCAUAGAGUGUGGAUUUUGAUGGUAUGGAGAUUUUGAGGACGAAGUGGACAGGUGUUGAGGAAUUUAAUGGACAAUGGAGAGAUACAAGUGAAUGCCAUCGCCAAAAUUUAUUGUCAUGCAGGAGAAGCAUAUGCAGAAAGAGGGGAAACGAAGCGUAACCUUGUCGUUCAUCACUCCAUCAUCAUUCACUUGUUUUUGCAUCGGCUAGGAUAGACGCAUGUUUAACACUGGCACUGAUUGACUUCUUGACGGGCCUUGCCCGCGACCAUUGGGCUCUG